GAAAUGAACACGCGACAAAAAAUUGUGCUUAAUUAAACGAGGUAGCCCACACCUAUAUAAUACUCACCCCGCCCUAAUUACCCAACGAAACUAACCAAUCUACCACAUGUAAACCCCUAACCAACGAAUUAACCAGUGCAAAAACAAAAUUUCAAUAUAUCCUCAUCCAUACACACCACACGACCAAAUCAGAUUCUGACCAAGUAAAGGAAAGUGAGAAAGAAUUCUACAAAUAAACAAGUUUACCAAAAACAACUGUAAGCAAUAACAGGCUCCAAUUCAAACCAAGUGAAUUUGAGAAUUAGUACAAAGUCAGAAGCAUGGAACAUUUAACAAAGAGAACAUUAGGAAAUAAUUCCUUUCACUUACAUCUAAUGGAGCAUCUGAAAAAGUGGUUUAGAUUUGCAAAGGAAUUAUGAAAAAAGGCUAAAUCUGAUGGGAAGGCAAUACCUGGAGCUUUAACUGAAUUUCUAAAACAUCAGUUAAGGAUGGACCCAUUUAGACCCAUAUGGUACUAAAGAUAUAAUUUUCUAGAGAGAGUUAAAGUAUACAGCAAAUGUCUUAUAUUUGAUGCAAACCUCAAUAACCAGGACAGAGAUGACACCAAAACAACAAUUGGUUAAGCAAUGAAUACCCAGCAACCUGCCUUGAAAGAACAACAACAGCACACAUAGUACUGUGUAGCAUAUAAAAAAAAACAACAAAGAAUUAGA
Long non-coding RNA from Octopus sinensis (East Asian common octopus), 713 nucleotides. RefSeq lists it as uncharacterized. The transcript is spliced from 3 exons. The record is from RefSeq and is a predicted model, not a curated record. NCBI's taxonomy places the organism in Eukaryota, Metazoa, Mollusca, Cephalopoda, Octopoda, Octopodidae.